UACGUAGGGUGCGAGCGUUAAUCGGAAGUACUGGGCGUAAAGCGUGCGCAGGCGGUUCGUUGUGUCGGCGGUGAAAGCCCGGCUCAACCUGGGAAUGGCCGUUGAAACUGGCGAACUGGAGUGUGGCAGAGGGGGUGGAAUUCCGCGUGUAGCAGUGAAAUGCGUAGAGAUGCGGAGGAACACCGAUGGCGAAGGCAGCCCCUGGCUGACACUGACGCUCAGGCACGAAAGCGUGGGAGCAACAGG
Molecule: ribosomal RNA, 246 nt
Filed under: uncultured bacterium
Lineage: Bacteria
Description: partial 16S ribosomal RNA
Rfam family: Bacterial small subunit ribosomal RNA
Source: RNAcentral